GGAGUUUGGACCGUGUCUCAGUUCCAAUGUGGGGGACCUUCCUCUCAGAACCCCUACUGAUCGUUGACUAGGUGGGCCGUUACCCCGCCUACUAUCUAAUCAGACGCAUCCCCAUCCCUUAGCGAUAAAUCUUUGGUCCUCGUUAGAUGUCUUCAAAGGACAACAUAGGGAAUUAAUCCGACUUUCGCCGGGCUGUGCCCUACUAAGGGGAAGGUUGGAUACGCGUUACUCACCCGUGCGCCGGUCGCCAUCAUCAGUGGCAAGCCACUGACAUGCUGCCCCUCGACUUGCAUGUGUUAAGCCUGUAGCUAGCGUUCAUCCUGAGCCAUGAUCAAAACUCU
RNAcentral lists this ribosomal RNA (341 nucleotides) under uncultured Prevotella sp. Its description in RNAcentral is "partial 16S ribosomal RNA". The record is from RNAcentral. Lineage: Bacteria; Pseudomonadati; Bacteroidota; Bacteroidia; Bacteroidales; Prevotellaceae.